Molecule: ribosomal RNA, 253 nt
Filed under: uncultured bacterium
Lineage: Bacteria
Description: partial 16S ribosomal RNA
Rfam family: Bacterial small subunit ribosomal RNA
Source: RNAcentral
UACGAAGGUCCCGAGCGUUGUUCGGAAUCACUGGGCGUAAAGGGAGCGUAGGCGGCAUGGUAAGUCAGAUGUGAAAUCCCGGGGCUCAACCCCGGAACUGCAUCCGAUACUGCCUUGCUUGAGGGUUGGAGAGGUGACUGGAAUUAUCGGUGUAGCAGUGAAAUGCGUAGAUAUCGGAAGGAACAUCAGUGGCGAAAGCGGCUUCCUGGACCAGUACCGACGUUCAGGCACGAAAGCGUGGGGAGCAAACAGG